GACGAACGCUGGCGGCGUGCCUAAUACAUGCAAGUUGAGCGAUGAAGAUUGGUGCUUGCACCAAUUUGAAGAGCAGCGCACGGGUGAGUAACGCGUGGGGAAUCUGCCUUUGAGCGGGGGACAACAUUUGGAAACGAAUGCUAAUACCGCAUAACAACUUUAAACAUAAGUUUUAAGUUUGAAAGAUGCAAUUGCAUCACUCAAAGAUGAUCCCGCGUUGUAUUAGCUAGUUGGUGAGGUAAAGGCUCACCAAGGCGAUGAUACAUAGCCGACCUGAGAGGGUGAUCGGCCACAUUGGGACUGAGACACGGCCCAAACUCCUACGGGAGGCAGCAGUAGGGAAUCUUCGGCAAUGGACGAAAGUCUGACCGAGCAACGCCGCGUGAGUGAAGAAGGUGUUCGGAUCGUAAAACUCUGUUGGUAGAGAAGAACGUUGGUGAGAGUGGAAAGCUCAUCAAGUGACGGUAACUACCCAGAAAGGGACGACUAACUACGU
Molecule: ribosomal RNA, 496 nt
Filed under: uncultured bacterium
Lineage: Bacteria
Description: partial 16S ribosomal RNA
Rfam family: Bacterial small subunit ribosomal RNA
Source: RNAcentral